RNAcentral lists this ribosomal RNA (253 nucleotides) under uncultured bacterium. RNAcentral describes it as "partial 16S ribosomal RNA". It matches the Rfam family "Bacterial small subunit ribosomal RNA", at positions 524 to 776 of the family's 1533-position model. The record is from RNAcentral.
UACGUAGGGGGCGAGCGUUGUCCGGAAUCAUUGGGCGUAAAGCGCGUGUAGGCGGUCCGGUAAGUCCGCUGUGAAAGUCGGGGGCUCAACCCUCGGAUGCCGGUGGAUACUGUCGGGCUUGAGUACGGAAGAGGCGAGUGGAAUUCCUGGUGUAGCGGUGAAAUGCGCAGAUAUCAGGAGGAACACCAAUGGCGAAGGCAGCUCGCUGGGACGUGACUGACGCUGAGACGCGAAAGCGUGGGGAGCAAACAGG